Molecule: long non-coding RNA, 378 nt
Filed under: Nicotiana benthamiana
Lineage: Eukaryota; Viridiplantae; Streptophyta; Magnoliopsida; Solanales; Solanaceae
Description: long non-coding RNA (NBEN_LNC024057)
Source: RNAcentral
AAUAAUUGUUUCUGUUGUGUGUCAUAGUGUGUUGAUAUCUCCUUGUAAUAUUCUUUUUAGAAGAGGCAUUUUUUGCAGUUAGGCAACAAAUUGAGGAUAUUUUGUGUUCUUCACAACCAUGUAAAGAUGCGCUGUAUUACCUUUACUAGAUUUCUGGGGUCAGCUAUGGUUCUUCAGUUCCCAAAUGUUGUAAUUUACCGGGUAUUCUUUGGAUAAAUUGUUGUUGAAACUAUAUUACCUUUACUGGAUUUCUGGGGUCAGCUAAGGUUAUUUAGUUCCCUAGUGUUGUAAUUUUUCCAGGUAUUCUUUUGGAUAAAUUCUUGUUGAAUGUCUUCUUUGGUAUGUUACGCCCAGCCGCUGUUAAUGAGCACUUAUUUA